This 349-nucleotide unclassified non-coding RNA is filed under the name soil metagenome. Its description in RNAcentral is "partial contains 5.8S ribosomal RNA, internal transcribed spacer 2, and large subunit ribosomal RNA". The stretch from base 1 to 119 matches the Rfam family "5.8S ribosomal RNA", at positions 35 to 154 of the family's 154-position model. The record is from RNAcentral.
GAUGAAGAACGCAGUGAAAUGCGAUAAGUAAUGCGAAUUGCAGAAUCCGUGAGUCAUCGAAUCUUUGAACGCACAUUGCAUCCUCUGGUAUUCCGGAGGGCAUGCCUGUUCGAGCGUCAUUAUCACCCCUCAAGCCCGGCUUGUUGUUGGAUGCAGCGCUUAUCCCGCUCCUCCCAAAGAUAAUGACGGCGUCUGCGACGACUCCUGUACACUGAGCUUUCGGGCACGUACACGGCUAGAAGUCCAGACCCGGUCGCCGUCCCCCCCGCGGGGACACCCAUUACCACAAGGUUGACCUCGGAUCAGGUAGGAAUACCCGCUGAACUUAAGCAUAUCAAUAAGCGGAGGA